AGGUGUAUAGCGCGUGAUAAUUCCUGGGACAGGGGAGAUGGGUUACCAAUGGGAAAUACGUUAAGUGGGUGAUGCUGAAGGCCAGGGGUGGAGAGAGGAAGGGAGGGGAGGGGAGGAAGGGGGGUUCCAGGGGACGGGGUGCUGUGGGGGAGGAGACUACGACCAGGACGAGAGGAGGAGGAGGAGAUGAUGGAGGAGUUGCAGGAGAGGAAGGAGGAGAACGAGGAAGGGGGAGGAGGGGAAGAAGGGGGAGGAGGGGGAGGAAGACGAGGAGGAAGGUGGUGAUGCUUGGUCCCGGCCGCGAUAUUCCCGGCGGGGGUGCUCGCCAUGGGCUGUUUCUCGUCUGUCCUGCCUGGCUACCAUGCUGCCCUGCCUUGGAACCAGCCAACUAUGGACUGAAACAUCUACAAACUGUGCGAGCAUGUGUGUGUAUUGCACUGGGUCCCAGUGUAAAUAAGGUGCAUUUCUGAUCAUGGUGGUAGUCAGCUAUAAUGACAGAAAAGUGGCUUCAGAGACAAUAGGAGGGGAAAACACAAUGCAAUAAAGCAGACGUUAAAAUUUGCUAAAGUUGAGUGAAGGGAGUUCGACAUAUCAGCUCUUUCUAAACUCCAAGAAGCCUAUUGGGAAGAUCACUCAUUUUUCCAUUCACUGAUUCAACACAUAAUUAUUGAGUGUCUACAACGUUCAACCCACUGAUGAAAUGGCGUCAACUGGAUACUGGCAGCCUCUGUAUUAAAUGUAGCACAGAGAUAUUU
Molecule: long non-coding RNA, 755 nt
Organism: Heterocephalus glaber (naked mole-rat)
Lineage: Eukaryota; Metazoa; Chordata; Mammalia; Rodentia; Bathyergidae
Source: Ensembl